AUCGAUGAAGAACGCAGCGAAAUGCGAUAAGUAAUGUGAAUUGCAGAAUUCAGUGAAUCAUCGAAUCUUUGAACGCACCUUGCGCUCCUUGGUAUUCCGAGGAGCAUGCCUGUUUGAGUGUCAUUAAAUUCUCAACCUCACCCGUUUUCUGAACGGUACCAGAGGCUUGGAUGUGGGGGUUUGUGCAGGCUGCCUCAGCGCUGGUCUGCUCCCCUGAAAUGCAUUAGCGAGUUCAUACUGAACCCUCCGUCUAUUGGUGUGAUAAUUAUCUACGCCGUGGACUGGGUUUAGACUCGCUUCUAACCGUCCGCAAGGACAAUACCUUUGACAAUUUGACCUCAAAUCAGGUAGGACUACCCGCUGAACUUAAGCAUAUCAAUAAGCGGAGGAAAAGAAACUAACAAGGAUUCCCCUAGUAACUGCGAGUGAAGCGGGAAAAGCUCAAAUUUAAAAUCUGGCGGUCUUUGGCCGUCCGAGUUGUAAUCUAGAGAAGUGUUACCCGCGUCGGACCGUGUACAAGUCUCCUGGAAUGGAGCGUCAUAGAGGGUGAGAAUCCCGUCUUUGACACGGACUACCGAGGCUUUGUGGUGCGCUCUCAAAGAGUCGAGUUGUUUGGGAAUGCAGCUCAAAAUGGGUGGUAAAUUCCAUCUAAAGCUAAAUAUUGGCGAGAGACCGAUAGCGAACAAGUACCGUGAGGGAAAGAUGAAAAGAACUUUGGAAAGAGAGUUAAACAGUACGUGAAAUUGCUGAAAGGGAAACGCUUGAAGUCAGUCGCGUCCUCCGGGAAUCAGCCUUCCUUCUGGUUGGUGUACUUCCUGGUGGACGGGCCAGCAUCAGUUUUGACCGGUGGAAAAAGUUGGAGGGAAUGUGGCACCUUCGGGUGUGUUAUAGCCCUCCUUCGUAUACAUCGAUUGGGACUGAGGAACUCAGCACGCCGCAAGGCCGGGAUUCGUCCACGUUCGUGCUUAGGAUGCUGGCAUAAUGGCUUUAAUCGACCCGUCUUGAAACACGG
Molecule: ribosomal RNA, 1012 nt
Filed under: uncultured fungus
Lineage: Eukaryota; Fungi
Description: eukaryotic LSU rRNA
Rfam family: Eukaryotic large subunit ribosomal RNA (bases 334-1012)
Source: RNAcentral